This is a long non-coding RNA of Canis lupus familiaris (dog), 4164 nucleotides long. RefSeq lists it as uncharacterized. The transcript is spliced from 3 exons. The record is from RefSeq and is a predicted model, not a curated record. NCBI's taxonomy places the organism in Eukaryota, Metazoa, Chordata, Mammalia, Carnivora, Canidae.
GGGCCUGGCUCUCCUCUCAACCCUGGGGCACCCGGGUACCCACGCUCUCCUUUCUCUCCCAAGGGUCCAGGGCCGAUGGCCUGAAUGACAGGAGAGAAGAUCACCAUGGGGGCCGGGGCAGGGGCGUGCAGUGCAGGCAGGGGCGUGCAGUGCAGACGAAGACACUAACACCCCUCCAAAUUCUUUCAAGAAAGGUGGCUCAGCUGUGGCUGCGGAUCACAGCUAUGGAAAGGGGGCCCUGCGACCGCCGGGAAGGAGGUUCUGGCCUCACCCACAGCCAUCGGGGUCCUGGGAGUGCAGCCCAAGGAGACACCAUUCACGGCCGCGCACGCACAUGGGGUGCAGGCGAGAAAGACCACCGGGCUCCGCGCUACCGGCAGCAGCCCCUGCUCUGCAGCAAAUGACACAACAUUUCCAUCAUUCCAAAGAAGACUGAGGACAGAAUGGGCCAGCAGGCUCCAGCAGCCCUCUCUGACACGUGACCGGAGAUGGUCAUUCCAAGGUAACGUGCAAACACGAAGGUUUGUUAAAAAAAAAAAAAAAAAAAAUCACUGCAUACACCGAUGGCCCGCAUGUAAAAAUAUGCUCAUGGUUAAGAAGGAAAAUGCUCUUGGUGGACAUAAAAAUGUUUUGCUAGGGAGAGCCCAAUUAUGGAGGAUUGGUUUCUUCUAACAUCUUCCUUAAUGGACCAUUUAAAAAAAAAAAAGUUUCAAAAUGUUCUGCUCCUAUCGUUAUCUACGGGCAAGUCUUGUCAUUGUCCGUGGUCGAGGAAAUGCAGAAACUAUCGAGAUAUAAUAAGAAGUAAGUACCAGACUCCGCACAAUACAGAAUAUAAGCUUAUUAUCUUAAAUAGCGUGUGCCCUCCUUCCACACAGACAUCAUUCUAGGAAUGCCGUGGGGGCACGCAGCCCCAGCUCCUCGGGGACCACCAAACACGACUCUUACUCACAAUGCCAGGUGGGCCUGGAGGACCUGCUUCACCUUUGUCUCCCUACAAAAGAAAACACACUUGCGUUUUUUGACCAUACAGACUGUGUCUUGCAGAAAGCAGGGUUCAACUUCCUUUCCUGCAAAAACACAGACUGUGCUCACGGUAUUUUCUUUCCUCUCCGAAACACCCCUCACAGUGAAGAGCUUAAAGUGCUGCGUACCCAUUAGAACAAACAUGAAUGCAUGUCACUCUGCUUUGCAUAGGCAUGGAAAUAAAGAUUUCUGCAAUUCACAAUGGGGAGUCUGAUUAUUCACAUGACAGAGGAGCUCAUGUGUUUGGUUGCAUGCUCCCUCGGGCAACAUGAACAGAAUCAGUCCUAGGCUGAAUUAGUAUCUGGUGGCUUUUCAAUAAAAUGAAAAUAAAUGGAGUGAAAGCCUUUGAUUCCUAAAUAUAGUCCCUUAAAGGAAUAAUUUUACUAGAGGUUUUUAGGUAUAAGAUUGUCUAAACCUGCACUGGAAGUCAUAAUAAAGGGAUAUUUAUGGUUUCAUCGUUCCCCUUAAAAUCCAGCAUUACCUGAAAACAUCGGGUGGGUAAGUUCUAAUCACUCUGAGGCUUAAUUUCAUUCAUAUUAGGAAAGAAAACAAAGAAAUUAAUCCCUUUAGGAAUGCCUGGAUGGCUCAGUAGUUGAGCGUCUGCCUUUGGCUCAGGUCGUGAUCCCAGGGUCCUGGGAUUGAGUCCCACAUUAGGCUCCCUCAGGGAGCCUGAUUCUCCCUCUGCCUAUGUCUCUGCCUCUCUCUGUGUCUCUCAUGAAUAAAUAAAUAAAGUCUUAUAAAAAAUGAAAUUAAUCCUGUUCUAUGUAAUGGUCUUAUAGAAGUCAUCACAGUAAUCUCUAUAAAAGUCCUAAAAUCUGCACAGAUUCCAUGAAUAUAGUUCCCCACCUUUAAGCCAGGGUAAUAAAUUUAGCAGUAAACCAGAAUUAGCUGUUUGGAUUUUUCUUUUUCUUUCUUUUUUUUUUUUUUUUUUUUGGAUUUUUCUUAUUUGAAUAUGAGACUUAAGAAAUAUCAAUGGGACUUAAAUAUCUUAGCUAAUAAAUUCUAAACAUUUUUAUCUUUUAAAAUCUACUGAGAUUUGACUUUCCCAAAACAGUUACAGUAUCAGUAAAGGAUCCUUCCUUUUGUCCCUGGCUUUCAUGAACAAGCUCUGAGGUCCACUCUGGGGACCUGAGUCACUGCUGGGGAUGCUAUUCCAAAGCUACUGCUUAUGUUAGCAAAGAUUUACAUUACCUAGUCUCAUGAUUACAAGAGAAAAGUAAAGCAUCAAUGAGUUUUUUGCUGCCUAUCACAUUGACAGACAUUUUGUAAAGUUUGAUAACAAGCAGUUGUCAAAAAAAGGGACCCCCCGACAGAAGAAUGUUCUUUUCCAGGGGCAAUUUGGUGGCAUACAGUGAAAAUCUCAAUACAAAAGAGUUUAAACAUUGACUCCAAAAGGACACUUGUAGCAAUCUAGGACGUGGACAUGAUCGGACAAGUAAACAAAUACUUGUGCUCAUAAGCGUGUGGGUGUGACCCACACAUCACGCAGCACGAGGCAUGGACGCAGGGUGGCCCCAGUGACUGUGUGCGGGCAUUCAAAUGCAUCCACGCCAUGUCAUUAAGUGAGGAGGCAGGAUGCACCACAAUCCGCCCUGUGUUAGAGGGGCGUGUGCCCGUGCACAGACAGGAGGGUUGCACAUUCUGACCAUUUCUGAGCGGGUAAUGGAAAAAUUAGACAAGCUUGCUUUUCUCCACUCUAUCUACAUUUUUGAUUGAUUCUUAACCAGGUACCAUUCAUCUACUACAAAAAAGACAUAAAAACUUGAAAGAGCGGAACAUUUUCUGUUCCCCUUUUUAAAACAUCACACGCAUAACUAAAACCAUGAAAUUAAAUUGUGCAUUGUUCAUAUGGACGUCAAUAAUUUCUAUUAUGUGAGUCCACAGCGCCUUAGGAAACUAACAGACUGAAGGGGAAAGCUUCCACAGCGUCUCGGCUUACCUUGAAACCUUCACGGCCUGGGAGUCCCGGAUACCCCGAGUCGCCUGGAAAGCCCUGCAGUGGGACACGGAAAGCACCCAUUGUAAGCUGGCCAAGGCAACUGUCUCUUCUUAAAAAUUACAGAGAAAUACUUACUGGACUCCCUUUUUCUCCCUUUUCACCAUCUUUUCCAGGUUUUCCCUGUACAACAAAUAUGGAGACAUCAGUAUUUCACAAAAGAAAAAACAAGCACACCCCAACACCCAGGCUGGGAACCUCUCCGCGUGAGCCCACGAUACCAGAGGAAUGCAUACGCAUCUACACAGAGCAACCACGGAAAGGGAUAGCAGAAAAGGACUUUUUGACUUUUAAACAACGGAACCUGAUGAUUGGUGAGAAAUUUACUGUUUAAAGCAACUGCAGGAUAAGAGUCCACAAAAAAGCAAGGCAUGAUUACGUCUUUCUUGAAUGUUAAAUAUGAGGAAACUAUAUCUCCUCCUCAAAUAAAGAGCGUUCUGAGGCAAGUAACUUUCUAACUGGGACAACUAAAUACAUGCUCACAGGACAACACUGUCUGACUUCUCAACAUGGGAUGCUGGGCAGCCUGAUCAUGGGGGAGGGGUGUUUGUCCCAAAUUUACCUUUGUUCCAUUGCACCCAGGGAUACCUGGAGGACCGGGGGGGCCGUCUUGGCCAGGAAUGCCCUGCAAUUAAAAAAGUGAAAAGGUAGCCAACACAGAGGAUCACUCGAUGAUGCUGUCACUCCAGUCAAACGUCUCACUAAGGAAGUACACGCAUUUUAGAUACAUACAGGCAGUCCUGGAUUUCCAGGGUAACCCGAUGCUCCUGGGGGUCCCUGUAAGGAUAGAAAUGAGAGAACGCACUGAGUGCUGGGCACCCUCACAUACUCCCACUGCACCCACCCGGCUAAGGGUGCCAGAGCUGCUGCCUGCAGCACCCCCACGCAGCACACAGGGCAUUCAGCAGGGCAGGCAGCUGAGGUUCACAGCCCACAAAGGCAGCAGUCCUACAUCCGAAGCUGACUCUAACUACUUCUGAAGUCAAGGCUGCACCCUCACAGAAUAACUGUCCUCACUUCACACUUUGUGAUUUCUAGGUAAAAUACGUUUAUUUUAUUUUAUAUAUAUAUAAUAUAUAUAUAUUAAUAUAUACACAUAUAUAUUAAAUAUGUAUGCAAAAUAUAUAUGCGGAAGCUAUAUACAU